RNAcentral lists this ribosomal RNA (907 nucleotides) under Curvularia geniculata. RNAcentral describes it as "LSU rRNA". It matches the Rfam family "Eukaryotic large subunit ribosomal RNA", at positions 38 to 963 of the family's 3401-position model. Lineage: Eukaryota; Fungi; Ascomycota; Dothideomycetes; Pleosporales; Pleosporaceae. The record is from RNAcentral.
GCAUAUCAAUAAGCGGAGGAAAAGAAACCAACAGGGAUUGCCCUAGUAACGGCGAGUGAAGCGGCAACAGCUCAAAUUUGAAAUCUGGCUCUUUUAGAGUCCGAGUUGUAAUUUGCAGAGGGCGCUUUGGCUUUGGCAGCGGUCCAAGUUCCUUGGAACAGGACGUCACAGAGGGUGAGAAUCCCGUACGUGGUCGCUAGCUAUUGCCGUGUAAAGCCCCUUCGACGAGUCGAGUUGUUUGGGAAUGCAGCUCUAAAUGGGAGGUAAAUUUCUUCUAAAGCUAAAUAUUGGCCAGAGACCGAUAGCGCACAAGUAGAGUGAUCGAAAGAUGAAAAGCACUUUGGAAAGAGAGUCAAACAGCACGUGAAAUUGUUGAAAGGGAAGCGCUUGCAGCCAGACUUGCUUGCAGUUGCUCAUCCGGGCUUUUGCCCGGUGCACUCUUCUGCAGGCAGGCCAGCAUCAGUUUGGGCGGUGGGAUAAAGGUCUCUGACACGUUCCUUCCUUCGGGUUGGCCAUAUAGGGGAGACGUCAUACCACCAGCCUGGACUGAGGUCCGCGCAUCUGCUAGGAUGCUGGCGUAAUGGCUGUAAGCGGCCCGUCUUGAAACACGGACCAAGGAGUCUAACAUCUAUGCGAGUGUUUGGGUGUCAAGCCCGAGCGCGUAAUGAAAGUGAACGGAGGUGGGAACCCGCAAGGGUGCACCAUCGACCGAUCCUGAAGUUUACGGAAGGAUUUGAGUAAGAGCAUGGCUGUUGGGACCCGAAAGAUGGUGAACUAUGCUUGAAUAGGGUGAAGCCAGAGGAAACUCUGGUGGAGGCUCGCAGCGGUUCUGACGUGCAAAUCGAUCGUCAAAUUUGGGCAUAGGGGCGAAAGACUAAUCGAACUAUCUAGUAGCUGGCUCUGCGAG